Molecule: ribosomal RNA, 238 nt
Filed under: uncultured Pseudomonas sp.
Lineage: Bacteria; Pseudomonadati; Pseudomonadota; Gammaproteobacteria; Pseudomonadales; Pseudomonadaceae
Description: partial 16S ribosomal RNA
Rfam family: Bacterial small subunit ribosomal RNA
Source: RNAcentral
GCCUAGGAAUCUGCCUGGUAGUGGGGGACGAACGUUUCGAAAGGAACGCUAAUACCGCAUACGUCCUACGGGAGAAAGCAGGGACCUUCGGGCCUUGCGCUAUCAGAUGAGCCUAGGUCGGAUUAGCUAGUUGGUGAGGUAAUGGCUCACCAAGGCGACGAUCUGUAACUGGUCUGAGAGGAUGAUCAGUCACACUGGAACUGAGACACGGUCCAGACUCCUACGGGAGGCAGCAGCC